Molecule: ribosomal RNA, 615 nt
Filed under: uncultured Planctomycetota bacterium
Lineage: Bacteria; Pseudomonadati; Planctomycetota
Description: bacterial SSU rRNA
Rfam family: Bacterial small subunit ribosomal RNA
Source: RNAcentral
GCUUAACCGAGGAAUUGCUCGGCGAACUUCCAUUCUUGAGGCAAACAGGGGUGCGCGGAACUCUUGGUGGAGCGGUGGAAUGCGUACAAAUCAAUAGGAACGCCGGUGGCGAAAGCGGCGCACUAGGUUUGCACUGACGCUGAAGUACGAAAGCGUGGGGAGCGAACGGGAUUAGAUACCCCGGUAGUCCACGCCGUUAAACGAUGUGUACUAGGCUGUGGUAGUUCUGACACUUUCACGGCCGAAGCAAAAGCGUUAAGUACACCGCCUGGGGACUACGGUCGCAAGGCUAAAACUCAAAGGAAUUGACGGGGGCUCACACAAGCGGUGGAGCAUGUGGAUUAAUUCGAAGCAACGCGCAGAACCUUACCUGGGUUUGACAUGCAUGUAUGGCUUCCUGGAAACAGGAUAGUCUGCCCUUCGGGGUGAAACUUGCACAGGUGCUGCAUGGCUGUCGUCAGCUCGUGUCGUGAGAUGUUGGGUUAAGUCCCUCAACGAGCGAAACCCCUGCCGUUAGUUGCCAUCGGGUAAUGCCGGGGACUCUAACGGGACUGCCGGUGUCAAACCGGAGGAAGGUGGGGAUGACGUCAAGUCAUCAUGGCUUUUAUGCCCAGG